ACGACUGCUGCUAAGACUGGAUAGGAAGAAAUAAGGCAUCUUAUUUCUUUUAAAAGACCUAGUAAUAGGUAUACUUUAGGAGGGGCUUGCGCCAUAUUAGUUAGUUGGUAGGGUAAUGGCCUACCAAGACGAUGAUGUGUAGCUGGACUGAGAGGUUGAACAGCCACAUUGGGUCUGAGACACGGCCCAAUCUCCUACGGGAGGCAGCAGUAAGGAAUUUUCGGCAAUGGAGGGAACUCUGACCGAGCAACGCCGCGUGAACGACGAAGUACUUUGGUAUGUAAAGUUCUUUUAUCAAGGAAGAAAAGCAAGUGGCGAACCAUUUGUUUGCCGGUACUUGAUGAAUAAGCCCCGGCUAAUUAUGUGCCAGCAGCCGCGGUAAGACAUAAGGGGCAAGUGUUAUCCGGAAUUAUUGGGCGUAAAGGGUGCGUAGGCGGUCAAGUAAGUCAGUGGUGUAAUGGCAACGCUCAACGUUGUCCGGCUAUUGAAACUGCUAAACUUGAGUUAGGUAGAGGCGAGUGGAAUUCCAUGUGUAGUGGUAAAAUGCGUAAAUAUAUGGAGGAACACCAGAGGCGUAGGCGGCUCGCUGGGUCUUAACUGACGCUGAGGCACGAAAGCGAGGGGAGCAAACAGGAUUAGAUACCCUGGUAGUCCACGCCGUAAGCGAUGAGUACUAAGUGUCGGGUUAAACCGGUACUGAAGUUAACACAUUAAGUACUCCGCCUGAGUAGUACGUACGCAAGUAUGAAACUUAAAGGAAUUGACGGGACUCCGCACAAGCGGUGGAUCAUGUUGUUUAAUUCCAAGAUACCCGAAAAACCUCACCAGGUCUUGACAUGUUUUUGCGAAACGGUAGUAAUAUCGUAGAGGUUAUCAGAAACACAGGUGGUGCAUGGCUGUCGUCAGCUCGUGUCCUGAGAUGUUAGGUUAAGUCCUAAAACGAGCGAAACCUUAUCGUUAGUUGCCAGCACGUUAUGGUGGGGACUUUAACGAGACUGCCAGUGAUAAACUGGAGGAAGGUGAG
Molecule: ribosomal RNA, 1024 nt
Filed under: Mexican potato purple top phytoplasma
Lineage: Bacteria; Bacillati; Mycoplasmatota; Mollicutes; Acholeplasmatales; Acholeplasmataceae
Description: bacterial SSU rRNA
Rfam family: Bacterial small subunit ribosomal RNA
Source: RNAcentral